This 654-nucleotide ribosomal RNA is filed under the name Sarcocystis hjorti. RNAcentral describes it as "SSU rRNA". It matches the Rfam family "Eukaryotic small subunit ribosomal RNA", at positions 455 to 1077 of the family's 1831-position model. Lineage: Eukaryota; Apicomplexa; Conoidasida; Eucoccidiorida; Sarcocystidae. The record is from RNAcentral.
CUCAGGGAGGUAGUGACAAGAAAUAACAACACUGGAAAUUUUAUUUCUAGUGAUUGGAAUGAUGGGAAUUUAAACCCCUUUCAGAGUAACAAUUGGAGGGCAAGUCUGGUGCCAGCAGCCGCGGUAAUUCCAGCUCCAAUAGCGUAUAUUAAAGUUGUUGCAGUUAAAAAGCUCGUAGUUGGAUGUCUGCUGGAAGCAAUCAGUCCGCCCUAUUUGUAGGGUGUGCACUUGAUGAAUUCUGGCAUCUAUGUCCUAAUGUGAUAGAUACGGCGGUGUAUAUGGGUUAAUCCUAUAUACCCGUUUUUGUAUAUUAUAUUGGGAUAAUACCGUUACUUUGAGAAAAUUAGAGUGUUUGAAGCAGGCUAAUUGCCUUGAAUACUGCAGCAAGGAAUAACAAUAUAGGAUUUCGGUUCUAUUUUGUUGGUUUCUAGGGCUGAAAUAAUGAUUAAUAGGGACAGUUGGGGGCAUUCGUAUUUAACUGUCAGAGGUGAAAUUCUUAGAUUUGUUAAAGACGAACUACUGCGAAAGCAUUUGCCAAAGAUGUUUUCAUUAAUCAAGAACGAAAGUUAGGGGCUCGAAGACGAUCAGAUACCGUCGUAGUCUUAACCAUAAACUAUGCCGACUAGAGAUAGGAAAAUGUCAUUUUUCUGACUU